UGUUUGACGGUACCUUUAAAGGAAGCACCGGCUAACUCCGUGCCAGCAGCCGCGGUAAUACGGGGGGUGCAAGCGUUGUUCGGAAUUAUUGGGCGUAAAGCGCGUGUAGGCGGUCUGAUUAGUCUGAUGUGAAAGCCCUGGGCUCAACCCAGGAAGUGCAUUGAAUACUGUCAGACUUGAAUACGGGAGAGGGUAGUGGAAUUCCUAGUGUAGGAGUGAAAUCCGUAGAUAUUAGGAGGAACACCGGUGGCGAAGGCGGCUACCUGGACCGAUAUUGACGCUGAGACGCGAAAGCGUGGGUAGCAAACAGGAUUAGAUACCCUGGUAGUUCACGCCGUAAACGAUGAGAACUAGGUGUCGCGGGUA
Molecule: ribosomal RNA, 366 nt
Filed under: uncultured Geobacteraceae bacterium
Lineage: Bacteria; Pseudomonadati; Thermodesulfobacteriota; Desulfuromonadia; Geobacterales; Geobacteraceae
Description: bacterial SSU rRNA
Rfam family: Bacterial small subunit ribosomal RNA
Source: RNAcentral